Molecule: unclassified non-coding RNA, 315 nt
Filed under: plant metagenome
Description: partial contains 5.8S ribosomal RNA, internal transcribed spacer 2, and large subunit ribosomal RNA
Rfam family: 5.8S ribosomal RNA (bases 1-105)
Source: RNAcentral
GAAAUGCGAUAAGUAAUGUGAAUUGCAGAAUUCCGUGAAUCAUCGAAUCUUUGAACGCACAUUGCGCCCCCUGGCAUUCCGGGGGGCAUGCCUGUCCGAGCGUCAUUUCUGCCCUCAAGCGCGGCUUGUGUGUUGGGUGUGGUCCCCCCGGUGUUGGGGGGACCUGCCCGAAAGGCAGCGGCGACGUCCCGUCUAGGUCCUCGAGCGUAUGGGGCUUUGUCACCCGCUCGGGAGGGGCCUGCGGGCGUUGGCCACCCACGAUAUUUUUUUACCGUUGACCUCGGAUCAGGUAGGAGUUACCCGCUGAACUUAAGC